CCUACGGGAGGCAGCAGUGGGGAAUCUUGCGCAAUGGGCGAAAGCCUGACGCAGCAACGCCGCGUGAGGGACGAAGGUUUUCUGAAUUGUAAACCUCUUUCAGCAGGGAAGAUAAUGACGGUACCUGCAGAAGAAGCACCGGCUAACUACGUGCCAGCAGCCGCGGUGAUACGUAGGGUGCAAGCGUUGUCCGGAUUUAUUGGGCGUAAAGAGCUCGUAGGCGGUUUGGUAAGUCGGUUGUGAAAUCCCCAGGCUCAACCUGGGGCCUGCAUUCGAUACUGCCAUGACUAGAGUUUGGUAGGGGACCACGGAAUUCCUGGUGUAGCGGUGGAAUGCGCAGAUAUCAGGAGGAACACCAGUAGCGAAGGCGGUGGUCUGGGCCAAUACUGACGCUGAGGAGCGAAAGCGUGGGGAGCAAACAGGAUUAGAUACCCUGGUAGUCCACGCCGUAAACGGUGGGCACUAGGUGUGGGGACUAUUCAACGGUUUCCGCGCCGACGCUAACGCAUUAAGUGCCCCGCCUGGGGAGUACGGCCGCAAGGCUAAAACUUAAGAUAGACGCGNGAGAGNGCGACGACGACGACGAGGAGGAG
RNAcentral lists this ribosomal RNA (593 nucleotides) under uncultured bacterium. RNAcentral describes it as "bacterial SSU rRNA". It matches the Rfam family "Bacterial small subunit ribosomal RNA", at positions 338 to 943 of the family's 1533-position model. The record is from RNAcentral.